UUUUUUUGACUGCACCUCUGGCAUUGGAUGUUCCUGGGCCAGGGACAGAACCUGCACCUCAGCAGUGACCCUAGCCACCUGACGAGACACUAGUCCUUAACCACUAUGCCAGAGCAGGAACUCCUAAUAAUUGUGAUUUAAAAAUAUGAAGUAAUGAAAUAUACCAACAGUUGGAAAAUCUGCAUAACUUAGUGAACGAGUAUCUUUUAAAUGGUUGAUACAUGAUAUCAAAAAUUCAUGAAGAGUUGUAAAAGAUAUAUUUAAAGUAUAAGAUAAAUCAACAGAUUGUAAUAUGACAGAGCACACAAAGUUCAUUCCUAUUGUUUUAGAUUCAACAUUGCAACUUACCUUUAAAAACUAGUAUUUGUCAUGUUGAUGUAGCAUCAGGGAAUAAAAUCUAAAAAAGCUAUUAAAAUACUUCUCCAUUUCCCAAUUACAUAUCUGUUUGAAGCCAGAUAUAUAUUUUUAAAUCUACUUCUAUCAAAACAGCAAUUGGGAGUUCCUGGUUUGUUUGGUUUUAUUGUUGUUUCUAGGGCCAUACCCGCGGCAUAUGGAGGUUCCCAGGUGUGGCCCUAUAAAAAGAAAAAAAAAGAAAAAAAAAAAAAAAAAGAGUGUACAGAGAUCCUUUACACCAAAUAGUUCAAAAACCACUUAUGCAGAGAAUUAGGAAGGUACUAACUACUUGUUCUGGAAACUUUGUCUCUCAGACACAUACACACUCUGUGUUGUGGUAGCAGGACCAGCCACAGCUCACACUGACUCCUCAAAAUCUGCUUCUGAGGUUCUUUGCUACAUGUCUUGAAAUAGUUGAAAACAUAAGAGAUACAGGUUGGAUAAGGUAGGUCUUAGAAUGUCAAAACCUGAAAUAUCUGCCAUCUUCUGUUCCAAACAGCCCAUGUUUGAAAUACAAAGUUAAAUUUUCAAUUAAUGAUCACAUGUUAUUCAGUUGGUUGGUGCCCUAGCUUGUUUGUGAAACUGGACCUCACGUCUCUUACGGCUUACGAAUCAGAGCUAGACGCCUGGUAGCCAUAAUUCAGGCUUGGGACUCAGAAAACGAUUUCAGUUAAAUGUGACGUUUGGGCGUGUAUCCAUGAGCACAGGGGAUCAUUUAAUCUAUGAGAGUCAGUGACGGGGACAGAUGAAAGCCGAAGUAUGUCAAAUAAGUGAGCAUAGGAUGACACUUUAGUUCAUGCUUCUCAAGAAGAACCGAAAGACUAGAAAGCCAGGAGAAGGAUGUUUUUUGAAUGCCCACAGUGGUCAUAUUGGGAACCAUUGGGUAACAUUAGGAAGCUCUACUUGAAGUAGAGUUCAGGCACCACAAUAACAUCUUAAUAUAAUUUUACAUAUGACGUUACAUCAUACAAACUCUGUAAAGCAAGUAUUUUCUCCAUUUAUCAACUAGGAAAUAAAGGUCUAGAGACCUGAAAUACGAUUCCAGGAUAACCCAGAUGGAUCCCACAUCAUACAAUUUCGCAUCAAAGGCGGGAUUUGUGACUUCCCACUGUGGCGCAGUGGGUUAAGGAUCUGACAUUGACAUAGCUGUGGCUUGGAUUUGAUCCCUGGCCUGGGAAUUUCUAUAUGCCGUGGGUGUGGCCUCUGCCACAGCCACGGCCAUCCCAGACCUGAGCCACAUCUGGGUAGCUUCAAGGCAACACCCAGAGAGGCCAGGGUUCGUAACCAUAUCCUCAUGGAGACGAGGUCUGGGUUCUUAACCCACUGAGCCACAAUGGGAAUUCCAAAAGAUGGGAUUUGAAUUCAAGGCUUUCGUUAUUAUGAAUCCUCUCCCUAAGAAAAUCUGGUAGAUAAAAUAUUCUAUCCAGGAACUUUCACCUCUGGCUUUAAAUUGUGCUAGCUUCUUCCCCUCUUCUUUAAGGGAGUGGAGGUGGUGAGAAGAAACAGAUAGAAAUGUAUGGAUGUGUAGCUUUGACACUCAUCUAUAGUCAGGGGAUUUUUUUGCUUUAUGCACAUGCACUAGGAGACAAUACAUGUGUUUUUGUUUAAUAAAGACACCCAGCUUUGCAAAACAAUUUCAUUGCUUGAACUGUUAGCACAGAAAGAGUUAAAUUCUGCCAAGCAAAAAGGCAAUCCUGCAUUACAUACAGUAUUCCUAGAAAUUUAGAGCUGAGGUUAAGUGUCCCUGAGAGGUCCCACAGCUAGGCACUUGAUAUACCCCCAUUUCCACCCUUGUCCACAUUUAGUUUAAUUCACACGUUAGGUAAUAUAUUUUAAGUUAUGACGUAGCAUUUAAAAACCGUCAUACCACUGAAAAUCAAGAAGCAGGAAUCUGAUUCAGUUGGAUGAAACCAGACUCUGAAAUUUAAGCCAUUUUCUCAAGAGUUGACCACCUAAGGCAGGGUUCAAACAAAGGCUGAAGGCUUCAAGGAGAAAAUGAGUAAGUGGGUUUCCCCAGAGCGGUGUGAAGUCAUCAGGCCAAGGUAAUACUUCCCAGAGGUGUAACCGCUGUGGGGGGGGGGGGGCGAUGGGGAGACAGAAAUGCAUGGUACUUUGCAGGUCGGCCCCUGGGGGCUGGGUUGGCUGACGCCUGAUAUUGCAGUAAAAUUCUUGGCCUCGAAUCGCAGCCCCUAACACCGCUUUCUGUGCAACGUGUUGAAAAGCAUCGCUCCCAGUUUACUGACGUUUCUGUUUUGACUUGUUUCUUAUUGUACAAGAUACAUGAUAAGGAGUAAGAACCCAGUUUUCAAGGCCUAGUCGAGUUCGAAGGAAGGCCACACCUCAGAGGAAGCUUGGAAGGGAAAGAAAAAGAGAAAAGAAAAGAAAAGAAAAGAAAAGAAAAGAAAAGAAAAGAAAAGAAAAGAAAAGAAAAGAAAAGAAAGGAAAUUUCUUUCAUCCUAACUUUGGCAGAAUCUCCAAAAGCCGAAAUAGUUAAUUUGUAAGCUCUUUCAUUUUUUCCUAAACAGUGCCACCUACUGUCCAUUUGAAGUCAUCGGGAGGCUUGUUGGCAAGGACCAAAGAAAAAGGGGGAAAAGGAACAGAGAAAACUAACAAGGGAAGAAAGAUGAGAACGGGCCAUCAUGAAGCAACAAGUAUUUUGACUCGUUAUCUUCUUAAAAGGCUCGCAAGAAGCCGAAGCCACUUAAUCCAUUCCCUUAGAAAUUGCUUUUCUUGAGCGCGCUAUUUUGGAGUUCUCUAGAGGAUGAUUUUUAUUUUGUUAUAUUUUAUAAUGCUCGCUAUUUGAAUAUUUUUAUGUUAGAGGAUCAGGUUAAGCAAAAAACUUCUGAGUAAAGGGGACUUUUGACAUGUGCC
RNAcentral lists this long non-coding RNA (3264 nucleotides) under Sus scrofa (pig). Its description in RNAcentral is "lncRNA (ENSSSCG00065019148.1)". The record is from RNAcentral. Lineage: Eukaryota; Metazoa; Chordata; Mammalia; Artiodactyla; Suidae.